Long non-coding RNA from Hippocampus comes (tiger tail seahorse), 302 nucleotides. RefSeq lists it as uncharacterized. The record is from RefSeq and is a predicted model, not a curated record. The transcript is spliced from 3 exons. NCBI's taxonomy places the organism in Eukaryota, Metazoa, Chordata, Actinopteri, Syngnathiformes, Syngnathidae.
CCACUUGAUGGCGAUAGUGACACGUUGAUUUCAUGGAGUGUCCCUGUUGUAAGCACAAAAAGAAGACUUUGCUCUUACAUUUCUAGUUUGUGAAGCAUAGUAUACGUAGUUCACAAUUCAUUUAAUUUCGUCAGUCGGUACACCACCCGUGUUUCUUCAGUUUGUUGUUUGAUGUGAAUGCCAAGUACAACCAGAGGCUCUCCUCGCUACCGGUGGGCAAACAUGAAGCCAGGGGUGUGUGAUGGAGCAUCGUCUCAGAUUUCGGAAUCCUUCACGAACUGGGUUGGCGAAGCCUGUUAGAG